UCCCUGGUGGCUCAGAUGGUAAAGCAUCUGCCUGCAAUGCAGGAGACCCAGGUUUGAUCCCUGGGUUGGGAA
RNAcentral lists this transfer RNA (72 nucleotides) under Bos taurus (domestic cattle). It matches the Rfam family "tRNA". Rfam says of the family: Transfer RNA (tRNA) molecules are approximately 80 nucleotides in length. Their secondary structure includes four short double-helical elements and three loops (D, anti-codon, and T loops). Lineage: Eukaryota; Metazoa; Chordata; Mammalia; Artiodactyla; Bovidae. RNAcentral also lists the same sequence under 2 other names. The record is from Rfam by way of RNAcentral.